UCGGACCCAGAGUGGUUCAUAUCUUAGAUAGUUGGAUCCAAUAGGGUAAUUAGAGUUUGUCGGUUCGAAUUCGGUUCGGUUCCAGAUCUGGCCCAAAAAAAACCCAAAACACACAAAAAUACCUGAAAAUAUUUAAAUACUCAAAAAUAUUUGAAAUUUUAUCCAAAAUCUGACCCGAAAACAUGAAAAAUACCCGAAAUUUUAUUUGAUUAUCCGAAUUAUAUUUUUGAAAAUCUAAAAUUUUACCUGAAACUCAAAACCAUACCC
RNAcentral lists this long non-coding RNA (267 nucleotides) under Brassica napus (rape). RNAcentral's name for it is "long non-coding RNA (BNAP_LNC003530)". The record is from RNAcentral. Lineage: Eukaryota; Viridiplantae; Streptophyta; Magnoliopsida; Brassicales; Brassicaceae.